Molecule: ribosomal RNA, 281 nt
Filed under: uncultured bacterium
Lineage: Bacteria
Description: partial 16S ribosomal RNA
Rfam family: Bacterial small subunit ribosomal RNA
Source: RNAcentral
ACUCCUACGGGAGGCAGCAGUGGGGAAUUUUGGACAAUGGGCGCAAGCCUGAUCCAGCCAUGCCGCGUGCGGGAAGAAGGCCUUCGGGUUGUAAACCGCUUUUGUCAGGGAAGAAAAGGUUCUGGCUAAUACCUGGGACUCAUGACGGUACCUGAAGAAUAAGCACCGGCUAACUACGUGCCAGCAGCCGCGGUAAUACGUAGGGUGCAAGCGUUAAUCGGAAUUACUGGGCGUAAAGCGUGCGCAGGCGGUUAUGCAAGACAGAGGUGAAAUCCCCGGGC